This 497-nucleotide ribosomal RNA is filed under the name uncultured bacterium. Its description in RNAcentral is "partial 16S ribosomal RNA". It matches the Rfam family "Bacterial small subunit ribosomal RNA", at positions 28 to 507 of the family's 1533-position model. The record is from RNAcentral.
GAUGAACGCUGGCGGCGUGCCUAAUACAUGCCAGUCGAGCGAACGGACGAGAAGCUUGCUUCUCUGAUGUUAGCGGCGGACGGGUGAGUAACACGUGGAUAACCUACCUAUAAGACUGGGAUAACUUCGGGAAACCGUAGCUAAUACCGGAUAAUAUUUUGAACCGCAUGGUUCAAAAGUGAAAGACGGUCUUGCUGUCACUUAUAGAUGGAUCCGCGCUGCAUUAGCUAGUUGGUAAGGUAACGGCUUACCAAGGCAACGAUGCAUAGCCGACCUGAGAGGGUGAUCGGCCACACUGGAACUGAGACACGGUCCAGACUCCUACGGGAGGCAGCAGUAGGGAAUCUUCCGCAAUGGGCGAAAGCCUGACGGAGCAACGCCGCGUGAGUGAUGAAGGUCUUCGGAUCGUAAAACUCUGUUAUUAGGGAAGAGCAUAUGUGUAAGUAACUGUGCACAUCUUGACGGUACCUAAUCAGAAAGCCACGGCUAACUACGUG